This 322-nucleotide ribosomal RNA is filed under the name uncultured eukaryote. Its description in RNAcentral is "partial 18S ribosomal RNA". It matches the Rfam family "Eukaryotic small subunit ribosomal RNA", at positions 1470 to 1796 of the family's 1831-position model. The record is from RNAcentral.
CCCUUAGAUGUUCUGGGCCGCACGCGUGCUACACUGAGUGGAUCAGCGGGUCAGGUUGCGCGAAAGUGUUUCCUAAUCUUUAAAUCCGCUCGUGAUGGGGAUUGACGGUUGCAAUUUUCCGUCAUGAACGAGGAAUACCUUGUAAGCGCGGGUCAUCAUCCCGCGCUGAAUACGUCCCUGCCCUUUGUACACACCGCCCGUCGCUCCUACCGAUUGAGUGGUCCGGUGAGGCUUUGGGAUCUGGGCAGAAAGAGCGUUUCGCUGUUUCUGCCCGGAAAACUCAGUCGAACCUUAUCAUUUAGAGGAAGGAGAAGUCGUAACA